Molecule: non-coding RNA, 113 nt
Organism: Tursiops truncatus (common bottlenose dolphin)
Lineage: Eukaryota; Metazoa; Chordata; Mammalia; Artiodactyla; Delphinidae
Source: Rfam
UGGAGGAGCGAGUGUCCACGGCCGCGCUGCUGUGGGCACUGGGCUGAGGGUGCAGAGGGCAUUCAGCUAACCCAAAGGGACACGCGCCUGGUGGGACAUUCUGUCUGUACAAA